GAUGAACGCUGGCGGCGUGCCUAACACAUGCAAGUCGAGCGAUUCUCUUCGGAGAAGAGCGGCGGACGGGUGAGUAACGCGGGGGUAACCUGCCCUGUACAUACGGAUAACAUACCGAAAGGUAUGCUAAUACGGGAUAACAUAAGAAAGUCGCAUGUUUUUCUUAUCAAAGCUCCGGCGAUACAGGAUGGACCGGCGUCUGAUUAGCUAGUUGGUGAUGUAACGGCUCACCAAGGCAACGAUAAGUAGCCGAGCUGAGAGGGUGAUCGGCCAAAGUGGAACUGAGACAAGGUCCAAACUCCUACGGGAGGCAGAAGUGGGGAAUAUUGCACAAUGGGCGAAAGCCUGCUGCAGCAACGCCGCGUGAGCGAUGAAGGCCUUCGGGUCGUAAAGCUCUGUCCUUAAGGAAGAUAAUGACGGUACUUGAGGAGGAAGCCCCGGCUAACUACGUGCCAGCCGCCGCGGUAA
This 468-nucleotide ribosomal RNA is filed under the name uncultured bacterium. RNAcentral describes it as "partial 16S ribosomal RNA". It matches the Rfam family "Bacterial small subunit ribosomal RNA", at positions 28 to 523 of the family's 1533-position model. The record is from RNAcentral.